GGCUCGGUGGCGGGUGGUCCGCGUCUGCACUGUGUUUGUCGAUUACGUGUGAAUCUAGCAGACCUUGCCUGUUCGAUUCCAGCCCGAGCCG
Molecule: non-coding RNA, 91 nt
Organism: Mycena rosella
Lineage: Eukaryota; Fungi; Basidiomycota; Agaricomycetes; Agaricales; Mycenaceae
Source: the annotation of a GenBank genome assembly